GACGAACGCUGGCGGCGUGCCUAAUACAUGCAAGUAGAACGCUGAAGAGAGGAGCUUGCUCUUCUUGGAUGAGUUGCGAACGGGUGAGUAACGCGUAGGUAACCUGCCUGGUAGCGGGGGAUAACUAUUGGAAACGAUAGCUAAUACCGCAUAAAAUUGAUUAUUGCAUGAUAAUUAAUUGAAAGAUGCAACUGCAUCACUACCAGAUGGACCUGCGUUGUAUUAGCUAGUUGGUGAGGUAACGGCUCACCAAGGCGACGAUACAUAGCCGACCUGAGAGGGUGAUCGGCCACACAGGGACUGAGACACGGCCCAGACUCCUACGGGAGGCAGCAGUAGGGAAUCUUCGGCAAUGGGGGGAACCCUGACCGAGCAACGCCGCGUGAGUGAAGAAGGUUUUCGGAUCGUAAAGCUCUGUUGUAAGAGAAGAACGGGUGUGAGAGUGGAAAGUUCACACUGUGACGGUACCUUACCAGAAAGGGACGGCUAACUACGUG
RNAcentral lists this ribosomal RNA (497 nucleotides) under uncultured bacterium. RNAcentral's name for it is "partial 16S ribosomal RNA". It matches the Rfam family "Bacterial small subunit ribosomal RNA", at positions 28 to 507 of the family's 1533-position model. The record is from RNAcentral.